This 109-nucleotide Y RNA is filed under the name Neotoma lepida (desert woodrat). It matches the Rfam family "Y RNA". From Rfam's summary of the family: Y RNAs are components of the Ro ribonucleoprotein particle (Ro RNP), in association with Ro60 and La proteins. The Y RNAs and Ro60 and La proteins are well conserved, but the function of the Ro RNP is not known. The record is from Rfam by way of RNAcentral. Lineage: Eukaryota; Metazoa; Chordata; Mammalia; Rodentia; Cricetidae.
GGCAGGUCUGAAGGUGUGGGGUUCUCUCAACUGAUUCACAGUCAGUUAAAGAUAGAACUCCAUCUUCUACCCCCACCUCCUUCUAACUACUGCACUUGACUAGUCUAAA